This 253-nucleotide ribosomal RNA is filed under the name uncultured bacterium. RNAcentral's name for it is "partial 16S ribosomal RNA". It matches the Rfam family "Bacterial small subunit ribosomal RNA", at positions 524 to 776 of the family's 1533-position model. The record is from RNAcentral.
CACGUAGGGCGCAAGCGUUGUCCGGAAUUAUUGGGCGUAAAGAGCUCGUAGGCGGUCUGUUACGUCUGCUGUGAAAACCCGGGGCUUAACCCUGGGCUUGCAGUGGAUACGGGCAGACUAGAGGCAGGUAGGGGAGAAUGGAAUUCCCGGUGUAGCGGUGAAAUGCGCAGAUAUCGGGAGGAACACCGGUGGCGAAGGCGGUUCUCUGGGCCUGACCUGACGCUGAGGAGCGAAAGCCAGGGGAGCAAACGGG